This is a non-coding RNA of Gasterosteus aculeatus (three-spined stickleback), 54 nucleotides long. Lineage: Eukaryota; Metazoa; Chordata; Actinopteri; Perciformes; Gasterosteidae. The record is from Rfam.
UUUAAAGUGUAGUGUAGGUUGCUUUGGAUAAAAGCGUCUGCUAAAUGACAUGUA